This 144-nucleotide ribosomal RNA is filed under the name Triticum aestivum (bread wheat). RNAcentral's name for it is "partial small subunit ribosomal RNA". Lineage: Eukaryota; Viridiplantae; Streptophyta; Magnoliopsida; Poales; Poaceae. The record is from RNAcentral.
AUGGAUCUUGAGGUCCUGGAGCAUAUACUUGAUGGAAGAGAGAAGCCAACAAAUCUAUCAUUCACACUUUUGAAGAAUAUCACAGAGAACUUCUCGGACGAUCUAGAAAUCGGUCAUGGUGGAUUUGCAACGGUUUAUAAGUAA